GUAAAAGGCUGUAGUUUCAGUAUGUAGACCUUUUUCCCCAUGCCAGUGUUGAAGUCUCGAGCCGUCAGAGAGUCUGCUGCAAAUCAUUCAAUUUCACCAUUUACCAGCUCACAAAAAUCUGAAUUUAGCCGAUGGUGUGUUCUAAUGGGUGGAUUGUGUGCAAUCGCUGUAAUAUUUUAUUUUUAAAAGGUCUUAAACAGGAAUGAACUCGUUUGUUGUGAGGUCGUUGUGAAGCCCCGCGGUCUCGCGUUGUCAAAAUAGAUGACGCAAAUCCUUCAUUUUUCACACUUCAACAGCUGAAAAACACCAACUUUUAGCUCUUGGUUUCUUCUAAUGGGUGGAUUGUGUGCA
This is a long non-coding RNA of Cyprinus carpio carpio, 351 nucleotides long. Lineage: Eukaryota; Metazoa; Chordata; Actinopteri; Cypriniformes; Cyprinidae. The record is from Ensembl.